GGGUCGGUGGCCGAGUGGUCAGGCGCGUCUCCGGCAAAGGGCGUUACGCCGGUUCGAAUCCGGCCCGGCCCU
This 72-nucleotide transfer RNA is filed under the name Rhodospirillaceae bacterium. RNAcentral describes it as "tRNA-Cys". It matches the Rfam family "tRNA". Rfam says of the family: Transfer RNA (tRNA) molecules are approximately 80 nucleotides in length. Their secondary structure includes four short double-helical elements and three loops (D, anti-codon, and T loops). The record is from RNAcentral. Lineage: Bacteria; Pseudomonadati; Pseudomonadota; Alphaproteobacteria; Rhodospirillales; Rhodospirillaceae.